CCGUAGAUCGUUAUGGCGCCGUUGGUCUCUUCGGCGGAGAGGUCCCACGAUUCGAAGGUGAAGGCCUUGACUACGUCGAUGCUCUUGUAGGAGGUGAGGUUGUAGCGGCGGAGGGUGACGGCGGAGCCGGAGGUGGAGGGGAGGGCGAGGAGGGCUUCGGCGCCGGCCAUUCCGCCGCCGGCAAGGUUGAGGCCCCAGGCGACCCAGCCGGAGGGGGAGGGAGGAGAGGCGGAGAAGGCGACGGAGAGGGUGCGGUUGGUGGCGUUGAAGGUGAAGUGGAGGGUGGCGCCGAGGGUGGGGAGGUUGGUGCAGUUGGCGUAGGUGCGGUUGAGCUUCUGGGAAGCACAAGUGAGGGCAGAAUGGGAAGGGGUGGAAAAUAGAGAAAAUAGAAUGAUGAAGAGGGAAAUGGUGGUCAUGGGUGUGAAGGGUAGAUCAUGGAGUGCCAUUGGUGGUGGGACUGAAAAA
This 465-nucleotide long non-coding RNA is filed under the name Glycine max (soybean). RNAcentral describes it as "long non-coding RNA (GMAX_LNC003663)". The record is from RNAcentral. Lineage: Eukaryota; Viridiplantae; Streptophyta; Magnoliopsida; Fabales; Fabaceae.